This 253-nucleotide ribosomal RNA is filed under the name uncultured bacterium. Its description in RNAcentral is "partial 16S ribosomal RNA". It matches the Rfam family "Bacterial small subunit ribosomal RNA", at positions 524 to 776 of the family's 1533-position model. The record is from RNAcentral.
UACGUAGGGUGCGAGCGUUGUCCGGAAUUAUUGGGCGUAAAGAGCUCGUAGGCGGUUUGUCACGUCGGAUGUGAAAGCCCGGGGCUUAACCCCGGGUCUGCAUUCGAUACGGGCAGACUAGAGUGUGGUAGGGGAGAUCGGAAUUCCUGGUGUAGCGGUGAAAUGCGCAGAUAUCAGGAGGAACACCGGUGGCGAAGGCGGAUCUCUGGGCCAUUACUGACGCUGAGGAGCGAAAGCGUGGGGAGCGAACAGG